CAGCCUGGCAGGAGAGGAGAGAGGUUAGGAUAUAGACACCAGGAGAGGAGAGAGGUUAGGAUAUAGACACCAGGAGAGGAGAGAGGUUAGGAUAUAGACACCAGGAGAGGAGAGAGGUUAGGAUAUAGACACCAGGAGAGGAGAGAGGUUAGGAUAUAGACACCAGGAGAGGAGAGAGGUUAGGAUAUAGACACCAGGAGAGGAGACAGGUUAGGAUAUAUAUACCAGGAGAGGAGAGAGGUUAGGAUAUAGACACCAGGAGAGGAGAGAGGUUAGGAUAUAGACACCAGGAGAGGAGAGAGGUUAGGAUAUAUAUACCAGGAGAGGAGAGAGGUUAGGAUAUAGACACCAGGAGAGGAGAGAGGUUAGGAUAUAGACACCAGGAGAGGAGAGAGGUUAGGAUAUAGACACCAGGAGAGGAGACAGGUUAGGAUAUAUACACAGUGAAGAGGAGAGAGGUUAGGAUAUAUACACCAGGAGAGGAGAGAGGUUAGGAUAUAGACACCAGGAGAGGAGAGAGGUUAGGAUAUAGACACCAGGAGAGGAGAGAGGUUAGGAUAUAGACACCAGGAGAGGAGAGAGGUUAGGAUAUAGACACCAGGAGAGGAGAGAGGUUAGGAUAUAGACACCAGGAGAGGAGAGAGGUUAGGAUAUAGACACCAGGAGAGGAGAGAGGUUAGGAUAUAGACACCAGGAGAGGAGAGAGGUUAGGAUAUAGACACCAGGAGAGGAGAGAGGUUAGGAUAUAGACACCAGGAGAGGAGAGAGGUUAGGAUAUAUACACCAGGAGAGGAGAGAGGUUAGGAUAUAUAUACCAGGAGAGGAGAGAGGUUAGGAUAUAUACACAGUGAAGAGGAGAGAGGUUAGGAUAUAUACACCGGGAGAGGAGAGAGGUUAGGAUAUAGACACCAGGAGAGGAGACAGGUUAGGAUAUAGACACCAGGAGAGGAGAGAGGUUAGGAUAUAUACACAGUGAAGAGGAGAGAGGUUAGGAUAUAUACACCAGGAGAGGAGAGAGGUUAGGAUAUAGACACCAGGAGAGGAGAGAGGUUAGGAUAUAUAUACCAGGAGAGGAGAGAGGUUAGGAUAUAUAUACCAGCACAGUCUGGCAGGAGAGGAGAGAGGUUAGGAUAUAUAUACCAGGAGAGGAGAGAGGUUAGGAUAUAGACACCAGGAGAGGAGAGAGGUUAGGAUAUAGACACCAGGAGAGGAGAGAGGUUAGGAUAUAGACACCAGGAGAGGAGAGAGGUUAGGAUAUAGACACCAGGAGAGGAGAGAGGUUAGGAUAUAGACACCAGGAGAGGAGAGAGGUUAGGAUAUAGACACCAGGAGAGGAGAGAGGUUAGGAUAUAGACACCAGGAGAGGAGACAGGUUAGGAUAUAUACACCAGGAGAGGAGAGAGGUUAGGAUAUAGACACCAGGAGAGGAGACAGGUUAGGAUAUAUACACCAGGAGAGGAGAGAGGUUAGGAUAUAGACACCAGGAGAGGAGAGAGGUUAGGAUAUAGACACCAGGAGAG
Long non-coding RNA from Oncorhynchus keta (chum salmon), 1520 nucleotides. RefSeq lists it as uncharacterized. Lineage: Eukaryota; Metazoa; Chordata; Actinopteri; Salmoniformes; Salmonidae. The transcript is spliced from 6 exons. The record is from RefSeq and is a predicted model, not a curated record.